RNA transcript from Corticium candelabrum, 1181 nucleotides. RefSeq lists it as uncharacterized. NCBI's taxonomy places the organism in Eukaryota, Metazoa, Porifera, Homoscleromorpha, Homosclerophorida, Plakinidae. The transcript has 5 exons. The record is from RefSeq and is a predicted model, not a curated record.
GGAGCACUAUAUAGCAGAUAAGAAUUAUAGAAUAGUACAGCAGAUAAACAAAGAGGCCUGAAGAGCGCUGAAAUAAAGUUGAAGUGCGCCAUGCUCCAGAAUCCAGUCUGAGUUCAUCUGCUAGAAACGACCCGAGGAUGAAGAAGUAUAAACCAGAUCUAUAUAUUUAUAAAAUUAAACCAAAAUAAAAAAUUAAAGCCUUCUGGUGUUACUAAUUAAUUAAUCGAUCAUUUGGUCUCGUUUCGUUUCAUAACUAUUGAAGAAUGUGCUAAAUUAAUUAAGGCAAUGUGAUACCGGUCGUUCUCGGAUGCUUCUGUAUGAUGUUUUACGGUUCAAAGGCGAUGAUGCAGUAGAACGAUUCUGUGAAGCUCUUAUGACUUCAGAUCAGCAGCGCAUUGUAAAAGAGAUUAUGAAGAAAGACGGUAUGGUGGCUAGAUUCCACCAGGAGUACAACGGAAGGUACAAAGUACCUGCAAGUGGCGGCAGAGAAAAAGACGAACGCCACGCUCGUCAAGUAGGAGUACCGUGCGAGACAGUGGGAUGAGCCACGGAUCUAGAUCACGUCACUUAGAAAUUGUGGAGAGUCCAGGAAAACGUACAAAAGUUGGUGCAAGGGCAUUCUCAUCAUCUGGAGAAGAAAAGUCACCAGAUGAAUGUCCUCAUCAGGACUGCAAUGGCUCGGCAGCACAUGACGAAGAAAUUGAGAGUUUGCAGAAAGAAGUUGGGCUGUUGCAGGAUCUGCUGGAUGUUUGGACAGAGAAAAGAGAGCAGCGGUUAAAGAUCAGAGACAACGAGCUGAUGUGGCUGAGUGUGAGUGGAAGAACGAAAAAGUGUUGAGGAAAGGAGUAGAGCUCACCAAUUUCACCAUGAGACUGGAACUUCUUCAACAAGGCGAGAUCAAUGACAGUCUCCCAUCAUGGACACAGUGGAAUGUACACCUGCCUGAAGACAGUUGGACGUAUAAUAGAAUGGGCGACAUUGAAGGCCGACUAGUGGUAGGAGGUUUGUAUGUCAAUCUGCAUGUUCUCAGUGCUAAACGCGACGAUAAGUGGGACACGUUUGUUUCAUCAAGAAUGUAGUGUGUCAUCAAGGUGUGUGUCUGAUGUGUGUGUGUCUGAUAAAGAUAACUAGAAGAUCAGAUGUGAUAUAUAUUGAACAAUUUCGUUUAAAUGAAGACAAAA